CCCCAUUCGACCCGUCUUGUAACACGGACCAAGGAGUCUGACAUGUGUGCGAGUCAACGGGCCAGUAAACCCGUAAGGCGCAAGGAAGCUGACUGGCGGGAUCCCCCAGCGGGUUGCACCGCCGACCGACCUUGAUCUUCUGAGAAGGGUUCGAGUGAGAGCAUGCCUGUCGGGACCCGAAAGAUGGUGAACUAUGCCUGAGCGGGGCGAAGCCAGAGGAAACUCUGGUGGAGGCCCGCA
This 240-nucleotide ribosomal RNA is filed under the name Cylindrotheca closterium. Its description in RNAcentral is "partial Eukaryotic large subunit ribosomal RNA". It matches the Rfam family "Eukaryotic large subunit ribosomal RNA", at positions 638 to 879 of the family's 3401-position model. Lineage: Eukaryota; Bacillariophyta; Bacillariophyceae; Bacillariales; Bacillariaceae. The record is from RNAcentral.